GACUCUUCUAAUGAACAAAAUUGGGUUCCAUCAUUUCAUAACCUAGAAGACAUGAACCGAAUGAUGCUACAGGCAUUAGAAUCCUCUUUGACUGUGCUGAGUACAGAUGGGGUGAUCUUUUUCGUGACUGAAAACAUCACAUCUCUCCUUGGCUACUUAGCAUAUGAGGUUAUGGGCAGGAAAUUAUUGACCUUUCUGCCUGAUGAAGAGAAAAAUGAAGUCAGCCAGAACAUUAGCAUGACACUUCCUCUGUCAGAAUCAGUGGGAACCCACAUUGAUUUUUGUUGUCAUUUAAGAAGAGGAAAUGCUGAAAAGGGACAGUGUCUUAAUUAUGAGUAUGUGAAAUUCGUCCUGACACUCAGAGAUACUUGCAGUAGUAAGUAAUUCACUUCAUCCUCUCCAAAUAAGGUUCAUGAGUUAUGUAGCCUGCCAUUGCUGACAUAAAUGUUGUCUUACUCUUGCUGAUCAUGUGCUCCUUGAUGUCACAAAUAUGAGUUUGUGUUUACUCAUAUUAGACAUUAACAAAUUAAUAGUGAAAUUUACAAGGUGGGGUCACAUAGAAACAUGGGGGAUUAAGAUGAUGAAGGAUGGCUCUCUCCUUUUAUAAAAUGAAGAAAUAAUUGUUAAAUCUUAAUAAGAGAAGUUUAAUGCAUA
Long non-coding RNA from Heterocephalus glaber (naked mole-rat), 654 nucleotides. RefSeq lists it as uncharacterized. NCBI's taxonomy places the organism in Eukaryota, Metazoa, Chordata, Mammalia, Rodentia, Bathyergidae. The record is from RefSeq and is a predicted model, not a curated record.